CAUAAAACCAGCAGCCUUGUGACUGAGGUGCUGCACUGAGUCUUUCAGAGCCCAGCUCAUGGGAAUGGCUGGGAGCCAGAACUGCUAGAAAUGCCUGAGCAGAAGGAUUUCUCACCUGUAUAGCUUUGGUCUGGCUGCCUUCCCAAAAUGUUUGCUGUUGCCACGGGACUGAGAGCAGAGCCUUAAACCCUGGGCUGGCAGGGGAAUCCGGCCUCCUCGCAUCAGCUGUUGAGUCUACAUGAGAUUACAAGAAAUACUUUGCUUUAUACAGCGUUGCUUGGUGGGCGUUGUGUACUUCUGCCCAACAGUAGUACAGGUGUCUUUUCCAUCCAGGCUCAGCCCACACUGUCAUAAUGAUCUCCUGAUAUUGGCACAGCCACCAUGAGCUCUGCGGUUUGUUAUUGUGCUGCUGUGACACCGAAAAACACCAACUCUGGAGAAGAAUGGCAACUUUUCUUCUGCCUUGAGAGACAAGAAUAUCUGGAGGGGUUUCUCUGGAGGACCUCAGGAAAGUGGCAACAGGGAGGCAGAUGUGUGCCUCAGCACUUCAGUUAUAUACAUGUGUUGAGUCCUUUGGAUGAGAAAAGACAACCAUGAGAUGUGGAAAGGGGAACAGUGAGCAAAAAUUACAAAGGUAAUUCUCUGGCUGGGAUUUGAC
Molecule: long non-coding RNA, 658 nt
Organism: Gallus gallus (chicken)
Lineage: Eukaryota; Metazoa; Chordata; Aves; Galliformes; Phasianidae
Source: Ensembl